This 497-nucleotide ribosomal RNA is filed under the name uncultured bacterium. RNAcentral's name for it is "partial 16S ribosomal RNA". It matches the Rfam family "Bacterial small subunit ribosomal RNA", at positions 28 to 507 of the family's 1533-position model. The record is from RNAcentral.
GAUGAACGCUGGCGGCGUGCCUAAUACAUGCAAGUCGAGCGAACGGACGAGAAGCUUGCUUUUCUGAUGUUAGCGGCGGACGGGUGAGUAACACGUGGAUAACCUACCUAUAAGACUGGGAUAACUUCGGGAAACCGGAGCUAAUACCGGAUAAUAUUUUGAACCGCAUGGUUCAAAAGUGAAAGACGGUCUUGCUAUCACUUAUAGAUGGAUCCGCGCUGCAUUAGCUAGUUGGUAAGGUAACGGCUUACCAAGGCAACGAUGCAUAGCCGACCUGAGAGGGUGAUCGGCCACACUGGAACUGAGACACGGUCCAGACUCCUACGGGAGGCAGCAGUAGGGAAUCUUCCGCAAUGGGCGAAAGCCUGACGGAGCAACGCCUCGUGAGUGAUGAAGGUCUUCGGAUCGUAAAACUCUGUUAUUAGGGAAGAACAUAUGUGUAAGUAACUGUGCACAUCUUGACGGUACCUAAUCAGAAAGCCACGGCUAACUACGUG